UACCCACCCCAUAUGCUUCCCCACCACACAAAAAUCAUCUCACACCAUCAGUCUCUUGGCCAGUCAACUUAGUGGUCCUCCCCACUUUUUCUUUUUCAGUUUCUCACAAACACAACCCACUCCUCUCCCACACUCCCUCAUUCUCCCACUGGUACCCACUCCUCACCACCAUCUCCACCAUCAUUUUUCCAACAAGAUCACCAAAAAAACUCCUUAGGAACCUUUGCAUCUUCCUCUCUUUUAUUUGAGGCUCUAACUUAUCUCCUUUGGAGCUUGGAGAAUUAGGCUUUUUGCAGGUUGUAAGGUAAGUAGCUUUUUACUUGGAUUUUUGGAAAAUAACCAUGUUGCAUAAACAUUGUUUUUGAGUCAAACACAUUUUGAAAAAUUAUUUGUGGGAUUAUGUUUUCUUAAAAAGUGUUGUGUAGAUGAUUAUAUAUAAAAAGCACAUCAUGUUUAAUAUUGCAUAUGGGGAAAUUUAUGAAUUGUUGAUAUGAAAAAUAUGAGCAUCUUUGAUUUAAUAUUUGAUAAUGAAUUCAUGGAUUUUAUGGUAUAUUGGAAAAUUUAAAGGUGCUUAUCUUGUCUUGUAUUAUUUGGGAAAUUGGUAGAAAAUCUUGUUAACAAGGAAUGAAUUUGGAAACCUUACAAACUAUGUGGAGGUUUUGGUUGUUUAAGGUUUUUCUAAAACUACCUGGAUAUAAAUUAUGUAUUUGAAAGUAAAUGUAACCUAUGAGCUUUAUGUUGUUUUAAUCCUAUGUCAUGUGUGAUUUCCCGGUGAUCACCCGAUUUGAUUUCCACAGUCUUUAUGACAAUGGAAUCAGAUCUAGGUUAGUGUCCUUUCACUUUAAAUGACGUAUUCUUCUUUACUACCCAUGGGGGGAAGAAGUUUUUUGAUUAUGUGUGGGUGAGCUUACUGCUCAUGGGGCCAAAAGAUCACAUGCAAAAGAGAUCAUAUUUGACGUGUUUUCCCUGCGGCCCAUUGCCCCGGGGGGGGGGGGGGGGGGGGGGGACCCUUGAGGGUAUGGAUGAAGUUAUUGCCCAUGGGGCCCAAGAAACUACAUACCAAUGAGGACAAUAUCAUACCAAUUGUGAAUGGGUGGAUCUCCUAACCGUAAUGUGGUAGUGUGGUAUAUUUGUGAUAAUUUGCCUUAUGUUAGAUUUUAUGACUUUGGAAUUAUAUUGUUAGUGCUCACAGAUUAUAGUAUAUAGUUUCAUGGUAUUUAUUUUUAGAAGUUGUGUUUCAUUAGUUAAUCAUUCUUUGUCAUAUUAUUAUUUAAAAUGAUAUUGCAAUAUUCAUGUUAGAAAUUCCUAAACUAACAUGCUUUCUAAACUAUUCCUCCUCAUGAAAUUUGCAUUUCCCCCACCCUAUUAAUUAUGUUACUUACUAGGUUCUGUCUCAUCCCAUUCGUUUACAAACUUUUUUAGAGUAUGCAACAAUCAUUUUGAGACAGGUUUUUGUGGCUACCAAUAGUUAGACUAACUACUGAUAGAGGUUGGAAUUUUGUGAUUGUGAUAUUUAGAUGAUGUACAUCUUAAAGUAGAUUUGACUCGUUUUUUUGUAUCUAAUAGUGGUGAUGACUUUUAUCUCCACUGAUGGGAUAAGUUAAUGAUGUGUAAUUAUAUUUAUUCAGACCUCCAUUCUUUUGUGGCUAAUGGUCCUUGUAAUUAUUGCAUAGAACUCUGACUUACUUUGGGAGUAUCUUUAAUAAAAUUAUCAUGAGAAUUCUUGAUGUUGGUA
Quercus robur (English oak) is the source of this 1735-nucleotide long non-coding RNA. RefSeq lists it as uncharacterized. The transcript is spliced from 2 exons. The record is from RefSeq and is a predicted model, not a curated record. NCBI's taxonomy places the organism in Eukaryota, Viridiplantae, Streptophyta, Magnoliopsida, Fagales, Fagaceae.